ACACCUCUUUAUUUUGCUACCAAGCUUGUCAUCCAGAUGCUCGUACAGUCCCUGGAAAAAAUAAAAUAUCACCAGUGGAAUAAUUAAUAUCUCGUGUUAAUGCAGAAUUAGUCAACUAUCAACUGCAGCAAGAAAACAGCUUCUAAUCAACCGGAGAAUUAAUUGCGAUAUAUUGUAUCCUUCUAGGUGAGGAGCUCUUGCAUCUUCGAGUUUAGAUGCACGAUCCUUCUGUAUUGCACUCAAUGUGUGAUUUAAUUUCAACAUAGGAUUGCUAUUAAACACAUACACACACACAUAAUUAAUUUUUCUCAUUAAUUUAAUUAUUGAAGAACUUUUCGAAUACUUUGGCCUCGUUACACGUGAAUGAUACAAAAUAAAAAAAACAUACGUGUAA
Long non-coding RNA from Ooceraea biroi (clonal raider ant), 394 nucleotides. RefSeq lists it as uncharacterized. NCBI's taxonomy places the organism in Eukaryota, Metazoa, Arthropoda, Insecta, Hymenoptera, Formicidae. The record is from RefSeq and is a predicted model, not a curated record.